RNAcentral lists this long non-coding RNA (3518 nucleotides) under Pectinophora gossypiella (pink bollworm). RNAcentral's name for it is "uncharacterized LOC126379652". The record is from RNAcentral. Lineage: Eukaryota; Metazoa; Arthropoda; Insecta; Lepidoptera; Gelechiidae.
AGUUAGUUAUGAAUAAAGAAGAGAAAUUGAUCAAAUCGGAAAAUACAAUGAAGUUGCAACACUUCCAUCAUGAAGUUGCAACGCUCCGACGUCAGGUGGCGUACGAGCAGAGCGGGGUGAAGUCGAGAGAGUCACUACAGAGUCGUCGUGUCGAGCGGACGUGCACUGCCGUUCUAGUCGGGCAGUCUACCGCGAACCUUCGUCAAGAACCGACGUGUCGAAUAAUUACGAUCGGAACGUGGAGUGCUAUAGUCGCUCACCUAUAACUUGUAGGGACGUCAAGAAAGUGUGAUCGGAAAAGAGCACGUGUCCCGAUGAUUCGGUCCGAAUAUAGGAACCAUGGGUGGUGGAGGGCAAGUAGAGGGCGAGUACCCCCUUCGCGCUAACGUCCUUAUGCGCGCUAGAUUACGAGAAACUGUGUAACCGUUACGAAUACCGUGACGUUGCCGUGAGUGUGUACCUUAUGCUGUGACUUUAUUUAAUCGUGAUACAAAAACUAUGUGGAAGUAAAUAAAAUGAUUGUGAUACUGAUGACGGCCAUUAUUGUCUUCUAACGCCCACCCUCCAUUCUGAUGAUGAUGUUACGACCGACACACCCACUAAUUACGACAUCAGAAGUGGGAUUAGUGGACUUGGAUGAAGACAACGUAAUGCGACGUUCACAACAAGACAAUGCAAGUUUCGAUUAUCACAAUCAGAAGAAGAUUAUGAUGAUUAUCACAUUCGUGUGACCACGUGAUGAAGAUGUAGUCUACAGCCAUGCCUGAAUUUGGAGAUGGACCUGAAUUUGAAGUGACCUGGACCUUGUUAAUGAUCGACAUCACUACAUGCCGUAAGAUAUGAUGGCGUGAACAUCACAAUAUUUCCAUAAUGUGUGCAGUCGUGUUUGGAAAUUAUGGUACCUCAACUUGGAAACUGUUAUUACGGUGAGUCGUUUUCAUACUGGAACCUUAUUGUAAUUGACUUCAUUGCUGGGUGAAUUUUCGUUUCUAAUAAUGAGGAAAUUGAUUUAAAAUUAACUUGGAAAUUACUAUUUCCCUUUGUUUAAAAAGAAAAUUGGCGAGACAUAUUGUGUCAAUCCGUGUCAAUAAUAUCGCGUUUUCCAAUCUGUUUUCAUCAUCGUCAAAUCUUUGUAUUUUGAUCUAAAAAUAUUUCGAAUUGGUAUAGACACGCUUAACCUGCGUGGUUAAAGUUGUAUUUUCUCACUCCAAGCAAAAAGAAAUUAAUCAUGACAUGAUAAUUGAGUCUCGUUAAAUAACGUGUUUUGUAAUCUACCGUCAUUCAUCAAAUGUUUCAAUAUUCAAUAUUCUUUAUUUGUAAUCUUUUUAAACCAAUUGAAAGAAAGUCAUGUGAAUACGAUAAUACAGUGAAUUCUUUUGUUUCAUGUCAUAAUUUGUCACGUGGUUCGGCAACUGGUGGAUUGCAAGCGGCGAUGCAAGUGGCGCGGGCUGAGCUGUAGCCGUGUAAAGUGAUGACAUCACGGCAGCGCAUUGUAUAACAACGGGACUUGUGGAAGACCUAAACCAUGUCACAAGACCAGUGGUUGAUCUUUUAUUGGAAAUUCUUAUAAGUCCUGGUGAGUCGUAUCUGUUUUACCUGAUUUGAAAGAUGGAAAGUUUUAAUAGGAUACAAACGAAUAUAGUGCAGAAAGUUGUCUUUUGUUAACUUUAGUUAAAUUGGAAAUCGUAAUGAAGUGAAGUAAACAUUGCGAAGUAAAAUUAUUUGGAUCAUGAUUAAAUGAAAUAGGCUUAGAAAAUGCCCGAAACAGAGUAAAUCAUUAGUGAGAAAAUUGGAGCAAAACAUUCUAAAUAAUGAUAAUACCGAAUUGGUAAUUGUUUAAGUGCGGUAAUAUUUCCUCGAGGUGUUGGUCGCUACAUUGUGACUUUAUGACUUGUGUGUGUGUGAGAGCAGGGUGCUCUGUCGUUUUGUGGUCGUGGACCAUGGUGGCCAUCCCGGGAGGGGAUGUUGUGACUCAUGACUGUUUUGUAGCGUAACCGCAGUUUGGGGAGGAAUAUUGCAGCCUGUUGUGCUUUGCAGUAGAUGUGUAAUGUUGGUUCUUUUAAUUGAGCAAUGAAAGCUAUGAUUGACCUGUUUCGGAGCAACUCUGAUAGGAAGCUGCGCACUUGUAGUGUUCGGGGCUGCAGCCACUUUUGUGCUGCUCGUCUUAGAAACUACAGGUAUGCGGUCGAGGCCUGGAUGUCAUGUUGACUUUGUAUUUGGUCAUGACAUUGUACCUGAAUCUAAGUCAAGUUGACCUCCGGUAGAAUUAGUCGAACUGCACAAAUUAGAAAUUAGUGAUAUAAAAGAAAUUGUGUAACGCAUUGACCACUAUUCUACCAACUAAAAUGUAAAGUUUGUGUGCUAGCUGUGUUAAGAUAUCGUCACUUGGUGUAAGUGGCAUGAGUUGCUGUCGCUCGAUUUAGGUGGCAGCAACGACUGUGUUGAGAUAUCGUCACUUGGUGUAAGUGGCAUGAGUUGCUACCGCUCGAUUUAGGUGGUAGUGACGCCUGGUUGUGAGAUAUCGUCACUCAGUAGAGUGGCAUGAGUUGCUACCGCUCGAUUUAGGUGGUAGUGACGCCUAGUUUUGAGAUAUCGUCACUCAGUAGAGUGGCAUGAGUGUAAAGAGUAAUUGGAUUUUCAAGUUUGGUUGUUUAUAGUGUGUGAAUACUGGUCAAUGGUCUGUGUAUUGUAAGUUGAUGAUUUAUCAUGAUGUAAUGUGAGCUCAUGUGUAGUCCCAAGUAGAGCUCGUGUAGAGUCACAAGUAGAGCUCGUGUAGAGUCACAAGUAGAGCUCGUGUAGAGUCACAAGUAGAGCUCUUGUAGAGUCACAAGUAGAGCUCUUGUAGAGUCACAAGUAGAGCUCGUGUAGAGUCACAAGUAGAGUCUCAUGUUGGUCAGGAAUGACCGAGCGAACUUGGAUACUGUGCUGUGGUAUGUUGUUUCAGAUUAACACACGAGGACGUGUGUCGCGCAGGAUGGCCGUGUCGGAGUUAGUUAUGAAUAAAGAAGAGAAAUUGAUCAAAUCGGAAAAUACAAUGAAGUUGCAACACUUCCAUCAUGAAGUUGCAACGCUCCGACGUCAGGUGGCGUACGAGCAGAGCGGGGUGAAGUCGAGAGAGUCACUACAGAGUCGUCGUGUCGAGCGGACGUGCACUGCCGUUCUAGUCGGGCAGUCUACCGCGAACCUUCGUCAAGAACCGACGUGUCGAAUAAUUACGAUCGGAACGUGGAGUGCUAUAGUCGCUCACCUAUAACUUGUAGGGACGUCAAGAAAGUGUGAUCGGAAAAGAGCACGUGUCCCGAUGAUUCGGUCCGAAUAUAGGAACCAUGGGUGGUGGAGGGCAAGUAGAGGGCGAGUACCCCCUUCGCGCUAACGUCCUUAUGCGCGCUAGAUUACGAGAAACUGUGUAACCGUUACGAAUACCGUGACGUUGCCGUGAGUGUGUACCUUAUGCUGUGACUUUAUUUAAUCGUGAUACAAAAACUAUGUGGAAGUAAAUAAAAUGAUUGUGAUACUGA